Molecule: ribosomal RNA, 497 nt
Filed under: uncultured bacterium
Lineage: Bacteria
Description: partial 16S ribosomal RNA
Rfam family: Bacterial small subunit ribosomal RNA
Source: RNAcentral
GAUGAACGCUGGCGGCGUGCCUAAUACAUGCAAGUCGAGCGAACAGACGAGGAGCUUGCUCCUCUGACGUUAGCGGCGGACGGGUGAGUAACACGUGGAUAACCUACCUAUAAGACUGGGAUAACUUCGGGAAACCGGAGCUAAUACCGGAUAAUAUAUUGAACCGCAUGGUUCAAUAGUGAAAGACGGUUUUGCUGUCACUUAUAGAUGGAUCCGCGCCGCAUUAGCUAGUUGGUAAGGUAACGGCUUACCAAGGCAACGAUGCGUAGCCGACCUGAGAGGGUGAUCGGCCACACUGGAACUGAGACACGGUCCAGACUCCUACGGGAGGCCGCAGUAGGGAAUCUUACGCAAUGGGCGAAAGCCUGACGGAGCAACGCCGCGUGAGUCAUGAAGGUCUUAGGCUGGUAAAACUCUGUUAUCAGGGAAGAACAAAUGUGUAAGUAACUAUGCACGUCUUGACGGUACCUAAUCAGAAAGCCACGGCUAACUACGUG